AAAUUGAAGAGUUUGAUCAUGGCUCAGAUUGAACGCUGGCGGCAGGCCUAACACAUGCAAGUCGAGCGGAAACGAGUUAUCUGAACCUUCGGGGAACGAUAACGGCGUCGAGCGGCGGACGGGUGAGUAAUGCCUAGGAAAUUGCCCGGAUGUGGGGGAUAACCAUUGGAAACGAUGGCUAAUACCGCAUGAUGCCUACGGGCCAAAGAGGGGGACCUUCGGGCCUCUCGCGUCAGGAUAUGCCUAGGUGGGAUUAGCUAGUUGGUGAGGUAACGGCUCACCAAGGCGACGAUCCCUAGCUGGUCUGAGAGGAUGAUCAGCCACACUGGAACUGAGACACGGUCCAGACUCCUACGGGAGGCAGCAGUGGGGAAUAUUGCACAA
This 384-nucleotide ribosomal RNA is filed under the name Salmonella enterica subsp. enterica serovar Kentucky. Its description in RNAcentral is "bacterial SSU rRNA". It matches the Rfam family "Bacterial small subunit ribosomal RNA", at positions 1 to 371 of the family's 1533-position model. The record is from RNAcentral. Lineage: Bacteria; Pseudomonadati; Pseudomonadota; Gammaproteobacteria; Enterobacterales; Enterobacteriaceae.